CGAUCUCCAAUUUGAAAACCAUUGGUACAAAUCAUAUUUUAUCAAUAACAAAUUGACGAACGAUGAUAAAGAAAUGAAAGAAAAGCAAAAACAAGAUGUAAUCAAAAUUUUGUCAUUUUUUUCAAUUCAACUUUCAUUUCAUCGCCAUUUUUUGAUGGAUGAUUCCGGGCCCACUUUGUAUCAUCUUCUCUAGCUAUAUCUUGAGUUACAUCAUCCAUGACGUUAAGUGUCACUGAAUCACUUUCCGUCCACUGAUCAACGGAUGACCUCAUUUGACUAAUAAGUUUAUGAGUCAAACUGUUAUAUUAAGCCAAUCAUUGGACGAUCCUUUUUAAUUCUUUUGCUCUCCAAUUGUGUCCUUAAAUGUGUAUUUACACGAUCGAUGAAAAACGAGAGAACGAAAAUGGAAUUCGUAUUAUUACAUAUCAAGAAGAGACAAUAUUUUUUUUCUUGGUUAUCUCCAAGUUAUUGAUAAUUAUUACUUUUACGUAACCGUUUGGAAACUUUGGAAAAGAUAUCCUGUAAAUUUCAUUGUUGAUGAAGGAAUAUGUUUUGCAAGUUAUUGGCCAAUGAACACUUAUUUU
This is a long non-coding RNA of Apis florea (little honeybee), 584 nucleotides long. The record is from RefSeq and is a predicted model, not a curated record. NCBI's taxonomy places the organism in Eukaryota, Metazoa, Arthropoda, Insecta, Hymenoptera, Apidae.